CUCAAAUUUGAAAUCUGGCCCUUUCAGGGUCCGAGUUGUAAUUUGUAGAGGAUGUUUCGGGUGUGGCUCCGGUCUAAGUUCCUUGGAACAGGACGUCAUAGAGGGUGAGAAUCCCGUAUGUGACUGGUAGCCUAUGCUCAUGUGAAACUCCUUCGACGAGUCGAGUUGUUUGGGAAUGCAGCUCAAAAUGGGUGGUAAAUUUCAUCUAAAGCUAAAUAUUGGCCAGAGACCGAUAGCGCACAAGUAGAGUGAUCGAAAGAUGAAAAGCACUUUGGAAAGAGAGUUAAACAGUACGUGAAAUUGUUGAAAGGGAAGCGCUUGCAACCAGACUUGCAUGUAGCUGAUCAACCGGUGUUCUCACCGGUGCACUCAGUUGCGUUCAGGCCAGCAUCGGUUUCGACGGUUGGAUAAAGGCCUUGGGAAUGUAGCUUCUUUCGGGGAGUGUUAUAGCCCAGGGUGCAAUGCAGCCUGUUG
Molecule: ribosomal RNA, 474 nt
Filed under: Strasseria geniculata
Lineage: Eukaryota; Fungi; Ascomycota; Leotiomycetes; Phacidiales; Phacidiaceae
Description: LSU rRNA
Rfam family: Eukaryotic large subunit ribosomal RNA
Source: RNAcentral